UACGGAGGGUGCUAGCGUUGUUCGGAAUUACUGGGCGUAAAGCGCGUGUAGGCGGCCGAUUAAGUCUGGUGUGAAAGCCCGGGGCUCACCCCCGGAAGUGCGCUGGAAACUGGUCGGCUAGAGUAUGGGAGAGGAAAGUGGAAUUCCCGGUGUAGCGGUGAAAUGCGUAGAUAUCAGGAGGAACACCGGUGGCGAAGGCGGCUUUCUGGACGACAACUGACGCUGAGACGCGAAAGCGUGGGGAGCGAACAGG
Molecule: ribosomal RNA, 253 nt
Filed under: uncultured bacterium
Lineage: Bacteria
Description: partial 16S ribosomal RNA
Rfam family: Bacterial small subunit ribosomal RNA
Source: RNAcentral